GACGAACGCUGGCGGCGUGCUCAACACAUGCAAGUCGAACGGAAAGGCCCCAGCUUGCUGGAGUACUCGAGUGGCGAACGGGUGAGUAACACGUGGGUAAUCUGCCCUGCACUCUGGAAUACGCCUGGGAAACUGGGUCUAAUACUGGAUAUGACCUUUCUCCUUAUGGGGUUUGGUGGAAAGUUUUUCGGUGUAGGAUGAGCCCGCGGCCUAUCAGCUUGUUGGUGGGGUGAUGGCCUACCAAGGCGACGACGGGUAGCCGGCCUGAGAGGGUGAUCGGCCACAUUGGGACUGAGAUACGGCCCAGACUCCUACGGGAGGCAGCAGUGGGGAAUAUUGCACAAUGGGCGGAAGCCUGAUGCAGCGACGCCGCGUGAGGGAUGACGGCCUUCGGGUUGUAAACCCCUUUCAGCAGGGACGAAGCGUAAGUGACGGUACCUGCAGAAGAAGCACCGGCUAACUAUGUGCCAGCCGCCGCAGUAA
This 483-nucleotide ribosomal RNA is filed under the name uncultured bacterium. RNAcentral's name for it is "partial 16S ribosomal RNA". It matches the Rfam family "Bacterial small subunit ribosomal RNA", at positions 28 to 523 of the family's 1533-position model. The record is from RNAcentral.